CAGUAGCCGCGGUAAUACGAGGGGGGCAAGCGUUGUUCGGAUUUACUGGGCGUAAAGCGCCCGUAGGCGGACUUUUAAGUCAGGGGUGAAAUCCCGGGGCUCAACCCCGGAACUGCCUUUGAUACUGGGAGUCUUGAGUUCGAGAGGGGUGAGUGGAAUUGCGAGUGUAGAGGUGAAAUUCGUAGAUAUUGGGAAGAACACCGGUGGCGAAGGCGGCGACCUGGUCCUUUACUGACGCUGAGGCGCGAAAGCGUGGGGAGCAAACAGGAUUAGAGACCCCUGUAGUCCCUGUCUCUUAUAC
RNAcentral lists this ribosomal RNA (301 nucleotides) under uncultured bacterium. Its description in RNAcentral is "partial 16S ribosomal RNA". It matches the Rfam family "Bacterial small subunit ribosomal RNA", at positions 509 to 807 of the family's 1533-position model. The record is from RNAcentral.